CAGUAGCCGCGGGAAUACGAAGGGGGCUAGCGUUGCUCGGAAUGACUGGGCGUAAAGGGCGCGUAGGCGGCGAUCAAAGUCAGGCGUGAAAUUCCUGGGCUCAACCUGGGGGCUGCGCUUGAUACUUGGUUGCUUGAGUGGGGAAGAGGGUCGUGGAAUUCCCAGUGUAGAGGUGAAAUUCGUAGAUAUUGGGAAGAACACCGGUGGCGAAGGCGGCGACCUGGUCCUUGACUGACGCUGAGGCGCGAAAGCGUGGGGAGCAAACAGGAUUAGAUACCCGGGUAGUCCCUGUCUCUUAUAC
This 301-nucleotide ribosomal RNA is filed under the name uncultured bacterium. RNAcentral's name for it is "partial 16S ribosomal RNA". It matches the Rfam family "Bacterial small subunit ribosomal RNA", at positions 509 to 807 of the family's 1533-position model. The record is from RNAcentral.